AUGUGAUUUAUGUUCUUUUUUUUUACGUAACAUACUCACACAGAGACAGACCGCACUCAGAAAUUCUUCCCAAGCACAUUUCGAAGCUAUUCUUUGAAAGUUAUGUAAACUUUAUUGCGGAAGACAAGGGCCGGGCCAGUACAAGAAGUCUGGUCAAGUGAACAGCGGCUGGACAUGGAAAAGUGUGUGUGUGUGUGUGUGUGUGUGUGUGUGAUAUCCUUUCAGUGGGGCAGGAGUGCAAUAAAGAAAUGACAACAGCAGAAGAACAGUAAAAGCUCUUUGUAUGCAAAUGCAACUCAUGUUGGAUCUGGAUCCACUUACAGGUGCCUUUGCACCACCAUUCCUUGCCCACCCAUUUCGAUGCAGUUCUAUGCUGAUUUUUUCCCGCCACUCGAGUACUCGAAAAGGCGAGCCAGACCACUCCAGCCUGAUGACCACAGAAAUUAAAUGAAAUCUUCUUUAUGUUUUGCCUGAAGCCCUCGGAUAAGUGCUCUCCUGGCUCAUGGACUUUUUUGCCUUCAAUACUUCCGCUUAAAAGGCAAUGUGGUGCGAAAAAUACAAUGAAAUAUAAGCAAAGUUUGACCCAGAACAAAAAGUUUACGACGUCUUCAAAAGCGGUGGAAUAGAAAACUGC
Molecule: long non-coding RNA, 634 nt
Organism: Drosophila gunungcola (fruit fly)
Lineage: Eukaryota; Metazoa; Arthropoda; Insecta; Diptera; Drosophilidae
Exons: 3
Source: RefSeq, a predicted model, not a curated record